Molecule: long non-coding RNA, 1067 nt
Organism: Cyprinus carpio (common carp)
Lineage: Eukaryota; Metazoa; Chordata; Actinopteri; Cypriniformes; Cyprinidae
Exons: 3
Source: RefSeq, a predicted model, not a curated record
GUGACCAGCCGCCAUUGACGACUUUGAUUUUAAAGUGUGGAUGGGAUUUUCAUUAAAUAAAACAGUUUAUAUUUAAUGUACUUCGCGAAAGCGUAUCAUAUAACUUUAGAAGAUUUUGAAAAUAGCGCACAAGUCUAUUAGACUACUAUGCAUGUUUUGGAGGUGGUCACUGCUCACUCUCAUUAUAUUAGCAUUAGCGUCCUGACAAAUUCCCUUUUUGUACACCAUAUGGAAGAGAGUAGGUUAGAACGAUGUGAUGAAAACGAACAAGCAUUGAGCGCUAGAUGGCAAUAAAGAGCCAUGAUAAGGACUUGACCAUGCUUACUGUGAGGAUGGAACAACUUGUAAGGAAGUGCAGGAAUGAAGGUGAAGUUACAAUCUUGUCCUACAGAUCAUUCAUGUGUUUCGCCUGAAGUGUUGAUAAGGAAACCGUUAAGUUCCUUUGACAGCAGUGCGAUCACAAGGACAGAGGGAAGACGCUAGAAGUUAGUAACUGAUCCCUGAUGGCUUGUUAUGUUUGGCACCUUCAUGCCAAAAUUCUGUCCAAUGCAGAUGCUUUCCAAGGACAUUGAUGAGGUGCAAAGACACUGCAGGCAUGACUCUGCAUUUCUGAAAAUGGCGCUCACAUUUGUCUCUAUAAUCUUCAGCAUCUGAGAUAAUAAGGAGGCAGGAAUGGUGUUAAUUACCCUCCCAGCAAGAUACAGAACAGCAUGCUUUUAUCUUGAAUGGGAGACAGAGUUAGUCAGGAAAAUUUGCUGCAUACAUUAAGAAUAUUGCCUAAGCGUGUGUUAUGUGUUUGGUGCAUUAGUUCCUGUAUGAAGAUAUUAAAGAAAUAUUUUUAUUAUGUGACAUUAUGUUAUUCUAGAGCUUAAAAUAUUAAAGUUUUCCAGUUAAAAUUUGCUUAAGAUUAUAAAAAAAAGUAAAAUAUAAUAAUGUAACAUCAGUUAUCAGCUGAUGUUAGAUAUUUUUCGGCAUCGUUUGAUGCAUUUGGUGCAUUUUUUUUUCUGGAUUUUUUUUAUUACCUUUGCUGUCAUCUAAUGCUUCAAAGUAAAUCUUUAAAAUACAAA